UACGGGGGGGGCAAGCGUUGUUCGGAAUUACUGGGCGUAAAGGGCUCGUAGGCGGCCAACUAAGUCAGACGUGAAAUCCCUCGGCUUAACCGGGGAACUGCGUCUGAUACUGGAUGGCUUGAAUCCGGGAGAGGGAUGCGGAAUUCCAGGUGUAGCGGUGAAAUGCGUAGAUAUCUGGAGGAACACCGGUGGCGAAGGCGGCAUCCUGGACCGGUAUUGACGCUGAGGCGCGAAAGCCAGGGGAGCAAACAGG
Molecule: ribosomal RNA, 253 nt
Filed under: uncultured bacterium
Lineage: Bacteria
Description: partial 16S ribosomal RNA
Rfam family: Bacterial small subunit ribosomal RNA
Source: RNAcentral